RNAcentral lists this ribosomal RNA (747 nucleotides) under Lacticaseibacillus rhamnosus. Its description in RNAcentral is "bacterial SSU rRNA". It matches the Rfam family "Bacterial small subunit ribosomal RNA", at positions 48 to 759 of the family's 1533-position model. Lineage: Bacteria; Bacillati; Bacillota; Bacilli; Lactobacillales; Lactobacillaceae. The record is from RNAcentral.
CUAAUACAUGCAAGUCGAACGAGUUCUGAUUAUUGAAAGGUGCUUGCAUCUUGAUUUAAUUUUGAACGAGUGGCGGACGGGUGAGUAACACGUGGGUAACCUGCCCUUAAGUGGGGGAUAACAUUUGGAAACAGAUGCUAAUACCGCAUAAAUCCAAGAACCGCAUGGUUCUUGGCUGAAAGAUGGCGUAAGCUAUCGCUUUUGGAUGGACCCGCGGCGUAUUAGCUAGUUGGUGAGGUAACGGCUCACCAAGGCAAUGAUACGUAGCCGAACUGAGAGGUUGAUCGGCCACAUUGGGACUGAGACACGGCCCAAACUCCUACGGGAGGCAGCAGUAGGGAAUCUUCCACAAUGGACGCAAGUCUGAUGGAGCAACGCCGCGUGAGUGAAGAAGGCUUUCGGGUCGUAAAACUCUGUUGUUGGAGAAGAAUGGUCGGCAGAGUAACUGUUGUCGGCGUGACGGUAUCCAACCAGAAAGCCACGGCUAACUACGUGCCAGCAGCCGCGGUAAUACGUAGGUGGCAAGCGUUAUCCGGAUUUAUUGGGCGUAAAGCGAGCGCAGGCGGUUUUUUAAGUCUGAUGUGAAAGCCCUCGGCUUAACCGAGGAAGUGCAUCGGAAACUGGGAAACUUGAGUGCAGAAGAGGACAGUGGAACUCCAUGUGUAGCGGUGAAAUGCGUAGAUAUAUGGAAGAACACCAGUGGCGAAGGCGGCUGUCUGGUCUGUAACUGACGCUGAGGCUCGAAAG